Molecule: ribosomal RNA, 1880 nt
Filed under: human gut metagenome
Description: bacterial LSU rRNA
Rfam family: Bacterial large subunit ribosomal RNA
Source: RNAcentral
UCAAGCUAAAAAGGGCGCAAGGUGAAUGCCUUGGCACUGGGAGCCGAUGAAAGACGUGGUAAGCUGCGAAAAGCUUCGGGGAGGAGCAAACAUCCAUUGAUCCGGAGAUAUCUGAAUGGGGCAACCCAAUGGAGUUCAUACUCCAUUAUCCAAUACUGAAUCCAUAGGUAUUGGAAGGGAACCGCCUGAACUGAAACAUCUAAGUAGGGCGAGGAAGAGACAUCAAACGAGAUUCCGUAAGUAGUGGCGAGCGAACGCGGAAGAGGGCAAACCGAGAGGAGAAAUCCUUUCGGGGUACGGACUGCUUUUAAGACUGGAAGAGUUAACAGAAUGGCAUGGGAAGGCCAACCGAAGAGUGUGAGAGUCACGUAAGUAAAAAUUCUGACAGCUGCGCAGGAUCCAGAGUACGGCCAGACACGUGAAACCUGGUCGGAACAUGGGGGGACCACCCUCCAACCCUAAAUACUACCCAGUGACCGAUAGCGUAUAGUACUGUGAAGGAAAGGUGAAAAGGACCCCGGGAGGGGAGUGAAAGAGAACCUGAAACCUUGUGCCUACAAGCACAUAGAGCCCGUCAAAGGGUGAUAUGGUACUUUUUGUAGAACGGUCCGGCGAGCGAUUGUACGUUGCGAGCUUAAGGUCUUAAGGACUGGAGGCGUAGCGAGAGCGAGUCUAAACAGGGCGUUUAGUAGCGUGCAAUGGGCCCGAAACCGGGUGACCUACCCAUGAUCAGGCUGAAGUGAAAGUAAAAUUUCAUGGAGGGCCGAACCGACCUCCGUUGAAAAGGCGGCGGAUGAAUUGUGGGUAGCGGAGAAAUUCCAAUCGAACUCGGAGAUAGCUGGUUCUCCCCGAAAUAGCUUUAGGGCUAGCCUCAUGUUAGAUAUCCGGAGGUAAAGCACUGAAUGGCCUAGCGUCCGAGAGGAUAGCGAAGCCUAUCAAACUAAGAAUGCCGGAAUAUUGAUGCAUGGGAGUCAGACAGUGUGAGAUAAAUCUCAUUGUCAAAAGGGAAACAGCCCAGAUCUACAGCUAAGGUCCCAAAUUGUAUCUAAGUGGAAAACGAUGUGGAAAUACGCAGACAACCAGGAUGUUGGCUCAGAAGCAGCCACUCAUUUAAAGAGUGCGUAAUAGCUCACUGGUCGAGCGUCUCUGCGCGGAAAAUUUAACGGGGCUAAGAUACAAACCGAAGCUUAGGCUGCACUUUUAGUGCGGGGUAGGGGAGCGUUGUGUAAGCGGAGAAACGAUAGCGUAAGCGGUCGUGGAGUUUACAGAAGUGAGAAUGCCGGAAUGAGUAGCGCGAAUGAUGUGAGAAUCAUCAUGGCCGGAAACCUCAGGUUUUUGGAGGAAGGUUCGUCCGCUCCAAGUUAGGCGGGAGCUAAGGUGAGGCCGAAAGGCGUAGCCGAUGCACAGACGGUAGAGAUUCCGUCCCCACCGAAAGAUUUAAGCGCAGGGACACUUUUAGAAGGUCGGAGCCAGGUGUUGGUUCUGGUAGAGAUCGAGGGAAGAUUAGUACCGAAGUCCGGCUGGAUAAGAGGCGAGAAAAGCUGCGUGUAUAUCUAAGGUGCCCGUACCGCAAACCGACACAGGUAGGUAGGAAGAAGAUUCUAAGGCCAACGGGAGAAGGGUUGUUAAGGAACUCGGCAAGUUGACCCCGUAACUUCGGAAUAAGGGGUGCUCAUGAAAGUGAGCCGCAGAGAAUAGGCCCAGGCAACUGUUUACCAAAAACACAGGUUUGUGCUAAAUCGAAAGAUGACGUAUACGAGCUGACGCCUGCCCGGUGCUGGAAGGUUAAGAGGAGAUGUGCAAGCAUUGAAUCGAAGCCCCAGUGAACGGCGGCCGUAACUAUAACGGUCCUAAGGUAGCGAAAUUCCUUGUCAGGUAAG